RNAcentral lists this unclassified non-coding RNA (331 nucleotides) under Spizellomyces sp. 'palustris'. RNAcentral describes it as "partial internal transcribed spacer region". The stretch from base 1 to 46 matches the Rfam family "Eukaryotic small subunit ribosomal RNA", at positions 1786 to 1831 of the family's 1831-position model. The record is from RNAcentral. Lineage: Eukaryota; Fungi; Chytridiomycota; Chytridiomycetes; Spizellomycetales; Spizellomycetaceae.
AAGUCGUAACAAGGUAACCGUAGGUGAACCUGCGGUUGGAUCAUUAACAUAAAGUUUGCAGGGAUGUUUGCAUCCCUGCAAGACGUCUGGGCGCACUUGUGGCAGCUUGCUUCCAUGCGUCCAGCUACGUUUCACCCUUUGUGCACUGUAAUUGUCUCUGGCGGUUGGAUGGAAGACCCACCAGGGUUUUUGCCGUCCGUCAGCUCGGGCAACCGAGCCGUGGACAACCCGCCAACCACGACCCACUCAUUGUUUUCUAGAUGCUGUCUAACAUUGUCGUAUUGUACGUAAUGUAAUACAACAACUUUUGGCAACGGAUCUCUUGGCUCUC